CCUACGGGGGGCAGCAGUGGGGAAUAUCGCACAAUGGGCGCAAGCCUGAUGCAGCCAUGCCGCGUGUGUGAAGAAGGCCUUCGGGUUGUAAAGCACUUUCAGCGGGGAGGAAGGCGGUGAGGUUAAUAACCUCAUCGAUUGACGUUACCCGCAGAAGAAGCACCGGCUAACUCCGUGCCAGCAGCCGCGGUAAUACGGAGGGUGCAAGCGUUAAUCGGAAUUACUGGGCGUAAAGCGCACGCAGGCGGUCUGUCAAGUCGGAUGUGAAAUCCCCGGGCUCAACCUGGGAACUGCAUUCGAAACUGGCAGGCUAGAGUCGUGUAGAGGGGGGUAGAAUUCCAGGUGUAGCGGUGAAAUGCGUAGAGAUCUGGAGGAAUACCGGUGGCGAAGGCGGCCCCCUGGACAAAGACUGACGCUCAGGUGCGAAAGCGUGGGGAGCAAACAGGAUUAGAUACCCUUGUAGUC
Molecule: ribosomal RNA, 465 nt
Filed under: uncultured Klebsiella sp.
Lineage: Bacteria; Pseudomonadati; Pseudomonadota; Gammaproteobacteria; Enterobacterales; Enterobacteriaceae
Description: bacterial SSU rRNA
Rfam family: Bacterial small subunit ribosomal RNA
Source: RNAcentral